AGCGCCGAACACGACUGGCGCAGGUGGGCCACCACCGGGGAGUGAAGUCGAGCGCAUCGAACGCCUGGGUGCGACUC
Molecule: non-coding RNA, 77 nt
Filed under: Luteipulveratus mongoliensis
Lineage: Bacteria; Bacillati; Actinomycetota; Actinomycetes; Micrococcales; Dermacoccaceae
Description: ZTP sequence
Rfam family: ZMP/ZTP riboswitch aptamer (pfl RNA motif)
About the family: Previously known as pfl RNA. ZMP is also known as AICAR.
Source: Rfam by way of RNAcentral